UACGAAGGGGGCGAGCGUUGUUCGGAAUUACUGGGCGGAAAGGGCGCGUAGGCGGUCCUUCAAGUCAGGCGUGAAAGCCCCGGGCUCAACCUGGGAACCGCGCUUGAGACUGGCGGACUCGAGUUCGGGAGAGGAUGGUGGAAUUCCCAGUGUAGAGGUGAAAUUCGUAGAUAUUGGGAAGAACACCGAUGGCGAAGGCAGCCAUCUGGACCGACACUGACGCUGAGGCGCGAAAGCGUGGGGAGCAAACAGG
This 253-nucleotide ribosomal RNA is filed under the name uncultured bacterium. RNAcentral describes it as "partial 16S ribosomal RNA". It matches the Rfam family "Bacterial small subunit ribosomal RNA", at positions 524 to 776 of the family's 1533-position model. The record is from RNAcentral.